Molecule: long non-coding RNA, 143 nt
Organism: Salarias fasciatus (jewelled blenny)
Lineage: Eukaryota; Metazoa; Chordata; Actinopteri; Blenniiformes; Blenniidae
Exons: 3
Source: RefSeq, a predicted model, not a curated record
AUUCAACAUGUCUGCUCCCAGCUGAUCGUUGAUAAACGGAAACAUGACAAGAUUUGGAUUGCUGUUGGAGUUUGUGUUUCCUUCGUAGUUGGGAUUGUGGGAGCUUAUCUCUGUCGUAAGAGAACUGCAGAUCACGGUGUGAC